RNAcentral lists this long non-coding RNA (1540 nucleotides) under Elaeis guineensis (African oil palm). RNAcentral describes it as "long non-coding RNA (EGUI_LNC067843)". The record is from RNAcentral. Lineage: Eukaryota; Viridiplantae; Streptophyta; Magnoliopsida; Arecales; Arecaceae.
GUGGUUUCUCUGCCCUCCCUUUUCUUUCUUGGAGGACUUUGGACGUCUCCUCUCCACCCUAACCCUAAUGCUUCCAAGAGAAAACCCUAUCCCUCCAUUUCACUUUCCCUCUUUGGUCUUGUCUGCGGGCUCGUUGGAUGGAAUCACUUCUAGCUAUCACCAUUGAAGACUUCCCAAUGUCUCUUUGCUUGCUCUAUUCAACAUGGAGGAGGUAUUAAGAGACUUUGGAAGCUAGCAUAGCAGAGUAAUCAAAGAUCUCUCUCCCGCUUGUUAGGUUUUUGGAAGUAUUUUAAAAGAUCAUUAGAGGCUCUAUUUCCUUCAUGGUUUUGCAGGUCCCGAGAAGCUGUACGAACAAUGCCAUCCCAAUGAGCUUCGAACUUAUAUAUUUGUUCACCAAUGCUAGGUUUCCAUUUCAGAAUUUGAACAGUUCUGCCUACUUUAUUGGUUGCUAUUUCUUCGGGAACUGGAGAAAAGGUGAUAUAUGAUCUGAUUGCUGUUAUGCGUGAUCUUUAUAUGUAACUUGUAUCUUGAUCUCUUUACUUUUAUAGGUGCAGAUUUAAGCCAGUGUCUCAAUUUGGCCGAGAGAAAUACCACCGUUGAAACCGUGAUCUCUGCGGUUGCACCUCAAAAAAGGUUUUGUUUCUAUGCGUAAAACUUUAUUGUUACUUAAAUUUGAUGUCUUAGACACUAAAGAUAGUUUAUGAUCAUAGGCACCUUCAUACAGUGUUUAUACUUAUAGGAAAAAAAAGAUUUGUGCUUCUGCUUAUUUUUAAGGAUCUACUAUCCCUUGAUUUCGCUCUAAUUAGUGUUUAAAAGAGAUGGAUCUGAUAUCAGUUUGAUGAUAAAUAUGCUUAUUAAGCAUAACGCUGAAGCUAUUUAGGAAAAACAUUACUUUAAAAUGUUGGCUUUAUUUAAAUUACUGAUCAUAUAUUGUUAAAAUGUGAUUAGCAUAUCCCAACUAGUUUGGGAUUAAGACUGAGUUGAGUUGUAUAUUGUUAAAAUGAGAUGGGACUAUAUGUUGUUUUAAAGGAAGUAUAUUAUUAUUUUGACUUUUAUUUUAAUGGUUGAAAUCAAGGUUUUCGAAGCUAGAAUCGGGACUCGUGCCUACCGGCUGGCGGUAUAAGUUGGUGUGCCUCUGUAUCAGAUCGGAUCGGUGCAAACCGAUAUGGCAGAUAAGGGAAGAGGGAGAAGAAAUAAAGGAAGAGAGGGGGGAAAAGGAGAGGAAGAGAGGGAGAGGGAGAGAGGAGGGGAAGAGGGAGAGAAAGAGAGGACCUUUGGCUAUCAUUAGAGGACGUUGGAGCUCUUUUCGAGCUUGAUAAGAUCGAAGGAAGGGAAGAAGAGAGAGGUGGAGAAUUCAUCGGAUCACCAUAAGCCCUUAGAGGCCUCUGGAUGGGUGGCGAUGCUAUUGUGAGCUCUCCGACGGUCGGUGAGCCAGCUCUGAGAGAGCGGAAGGCAACUGAGGCCGAAGGAGGGCAGAGGAGACCGGAUUCGAAAUAGGGGUUCGCCCCUGUUUUGACUUUUUUUGCUUAUAACGGAUGAA